Molecule: ribosomal RNA, 324 nt
Filed under: uncultured Bacteroidota bacterium
Lineage: Bacteria; Pseudomonadati; Bacteroidota
Description: bacterial SSU rRNA
Rfam family: Bacterial small subunit ribosomal RNA
Source: RNAcentral
GAUGAACGCUAGCGGCAGGCUUAAUACAUGCAAGUCGAACGGGAUUCGGGUAGCAAUACCUGAUGAGAGUGGCGCACGGGUGCGUAACGCGUAUGCAACCUACCUUUAACCGGGGCACAACUCCGCGAAAGCGGGGCUAAUAUCCCAUAACAUUGCGAUGUGGCAUCACAUUGCAAUUAAAGCUCCGGCGGUUAUAGAUGGGCAUGCGUGACAUUAGCUAGUUGGUGAGGUAAUGGCUCACCAAGGCUACGAUGUCUAGGGGUUCUGAGAGGAUUAUCCCCCACACUGGUACUGAGACACGGACCAGACUCCUACGGGAGGCUG